UUCCUAUCAUUCCCAUUCACAGGCUAUUGAGAAGGACGAGUUAUAUAGUCCCACCAUGCAAAGGGGCCAUGAAGUGUUCUCCAUAACUUCAAAAAGUAACCAAGUGAGCUGCAAGAGUAAAAACUAAGGUACAAGAAGACAGUUGUAGUUCCAAUGAGGGAGCUUCAGAACAACAUGGAGGGAAAACAUCCUUACCCUGAAAGCCAACACUCACUAAAAACUGAGAGCAAGGUAGAAGAGUUCACAGAAAUCCCUCACAAAGCACUCAGCCUUCAUUGAGUACACUUCAGCAGCCAUCUGAAGGCUAAAACCUGAGCAGAAGAUCUGAGAGAAAUGCCUGCCAGGCACUCUGAACUUUUAGAUGUCCUCCAAAGUUUGGAACUUGUCAACAAGACAGAGAGGGAACUUCCAUGCUGCAGAAAGUUUCCUAGGUGGCAAUAAUCACUUGAUUCAGUGACCAGACUCCAAGCUCUGCUAAAGGGAAAAUCCUAAAUCUGCUCCGAAAUAUUUGAACCAAAUGGUUAACUAAAUGUAACUAAAGUGCAACAAAACCUAAAUACAGCUUACCUACAUAGUGUAUUGAUUCAUCCACUCCCCAUACUAGAAACCAAAGGAGAGGCAUUCCUUUUUCCAUCGGUAAAUUUUAUUCACUUCAGUAUCUAUUAUACUUUUACCCCACAGUGUCAAGCAUACAAUAA
Molecule: long non-coding RNA, 698 nt
Filed under: Felis catus (domestic cat)
Lineage: Eukaryota; Metazoa; Chordata; Mammalia; Carnivora; Felidae
Description: lncRNA (ENSFCAG00000044534.2)
Source: RNAcentral